GGCUUCAUAGCUCAGUCGGUAGAGCAAUGGACUGAAAAUCCAUGUGUCACUGGUUCAAUUCCAGUUGAAGCCACCA
RNAcentral lists this transfer RNA (76 nucleotides) under Mollicutes bacterium. RNAcentral describes it as "tRNA-Phe". It matches the Rfam family "tRNA". From Rfam's summary of the family: Transfer RNA (tRNA) molecules are approximately 80 nucleotides in length. Their secondary structure includes four short double-helical elements and three loops (D, anti-codon, and T loops). The record is from RNAcentral. Lineage: Bacteria; Bacillati; Mycoplasmatota; Mollicutes.